ACGAAUUUAUUGGAGUUGUGCUGGUUCUUACAAGUGCACGCUCCUUACAAUUCCAUUCACACCCAAUGUGCACUCUAAGAGACGUAUCUCCCCCGUUUACGUGUGCCUUUAAUGGCUCGGGAUUUCGUCUGUUUAACACACACUUUUUGUAAUAGAAUGUCAUUUGGCUUAAAUGCCUAAAACUUUAAAA
Molecule: unclassified non-coding RNA, 190 nt
Filed under: uncultured Agaricomycetes
Lineage: Eukaryota; Fungi; Basidiomycota; Agaricomycetes
Description: sequence contains ITS1
Source: RNAcentral